GGGAAUGAAGAGGGAAAAGCCCAAAUUUGUAAUCUGGCUCUUUCAGAGUCCGAGUUGUAAUUUUAAGAACUGUUUUCAGUGCUGGACCAUGUACAAGUCUUCUGAAAAGAAGCAUCAUAGAAGGUGAUAAUCCUGUUCAUGAUAUGGACUACCAGUGCAAUAUGAUACAGUCUCUAAGAGUCGAGUUGUUUGGGAAUGCAGCUCAAAGUGGGUGGUAAAUUCCAUCUAAGGCUAAAUAUUGAUGAGAGACCGAUAGCAAACAAGUCCGUGAGGGAAAGAUGAAAAGAACUUUGGAAAGAGAGUUAACAGUACGUGAAAUUGUUAAAAGGGAAACAAUUGAAGUUAGACUUGUUAUUAAUAGUUCAACCUUUUUAAGGGAGUAUUCUAUUGAUUAACAGACCAACAUCAAUUUUUGGGUGUUGGAGAAGGGUUUAAGGAAAUGUAGCAGUUUCUGCUGUGUUAUAUUCCUUUUGAGCUUUGAUACAAUGCUUAAGAUUGAGGAAUG
RNAcentral lists this ribosomal RNA (505 nucleotides) under Puccinia tanaceti. RNAcentral describes it as "eukaryotic LSU rRNA". It matches the Rfam family "Eukaryotic large subunit ribosomal RNA", at positions 89 to 601 of the family's 3401-position model. Lineage: Eukaryota; Fungi; Basidiomycota; Pucciniomycetes; Pucciniales; Pucciniaceae. The record is from RNAcentral.